UACGGAGGGUGCGAGCGUUGUCCGGAAUCACUGGGCGUAAAGGGCGCGUAAGCGGCCGUGUAAGUCACCUGUGAAAUCCCGGGGCUCAACUCCGGGGCUGCAGGUGAGACUGCGUGGCUAGAGCACGGUAGAGGCGAGUGGAAUUCCCGGUGUAGCGGUGGAAUGCGUAGAUAUCGGGAAGAACACCGGUGGCGAAGGCGGCUCGCUGGGCCGUUGCUGACGCUGAGGCGCGAAAGCGCGGGGAGCAAACAGG
RNAcentral lists this ribosomal RNA (253 nucleotides) under uncultured bacterium. Its description in RNAcentral is "partial 16S ribosomal RNA". It matches the Rfam family "Bacterial small subunit ribosomal RNA", at positions 524 to 776 of the family's 1533-position model. The record is from RNAcentral.